Molecule: ribosomal RNA, 461 nt
Filed under: uncultured bacterium
Lineage: Bacteria
Description: SSU rRNA
Rfam family: Bacterial small subunit ribosomal RNA
Source: RNAcentral
AGAACGAACGCUGGCGGCAUGCCUAACACAUGCAAGUCGAACGCUCACCGGGCUUCGGUUCGGUGGGAGUGGCGCACGGGUGAGUAGCGCGUGGGAACCUGCCCUGUUGUGGGGGAUAACCGAGGGAAACUUCGGCUAAUACCGCAUGCGCCCGGGGAAACCCGGGGAAAGAUUUAUCGCAGCAGGAGGGGCCCGCGUCGGAUUAGGUAGUUGGUAGGGUAACGGCCUACCAAGCCUUUGAUCCGUAGCUGGUCUGAGAGGAUGAUCAGCCACACUGGGACUGAGACACGGCCCAGACUCCUACGGGAGGCAGCAGUGGGGAAUAUUGGACAAUGGGCGAAAGCCUGAUCCAGCAAUGCCGCGUGUGUGAAGAAGGUCUUCGGAUUGUAAAGCUACUUUCGACGGGGACGAUAAUGACGGUACCGUAGAAGAAGCCCGGCUAACUUCGCGCCAGCAGCCGC